CACGAGGUGACUUCUGCCCAGUGCUCUGAUUGUCAAUGCGAAGAGAUUCAGCCAAGCGCGGGUAAACGGCGGGAGUAACUAUGACUCUCUUAAGGUAGCCAAAUGCCUCGUCAACCAAUUAUUGACGCGCAUGAAUGGAUCAACGAGAUUCCUGCUGUCCCUAGGUGCUGUCCGGUGAACCAACAGCCAAGGGAACGGGCUUGGAUGUGUCAGCGGGGAAAGAAGACCCUGUUGAGUUUGACUCUAGUUUGAUGCUGUGCAACGACAUGUGGGGUGUAGCACAGGUGGGAGGCAAGUGCCAUACACGUCUUGUAUCGAAGUGAUAUCUCUAUCCGCACACGAGGUGUGUGCCAGUGUCGGGACAAUGAUGUAACAGUUGUUGUGCUUCUCUGUCGAGUGAUUAUGGUGCAAACCAGCAGUGAAAUACCACUACCUUCACCGUCGUUUUACUCAUCGAGUGGCUUGGGAACGGUGGCCAUUGGACAUCGGCUUCCGCAUCCUUGUGGGAGUCGUGGCCUCUACCCGCUUCGUGCGCCAAGCGCAGUCACCUCGGUGGCUGUGCGACCCUGUGGGGUUUACACCCCGUCCGUUUGAUCGGUGCCUCGGGACAAUGAUCAGUUGGGGAGUUUGGCUGGGGCGGCACGCCUGUUACAGGACAACGCAGGCGUCCUGAAGCAUUGCUCAGAUGGAACAGAAAUCUUGCAUGGAGGAGCAGGCCAAAGGUGCUGCUGAUGCUGCGACUUCCAGUACAAGUCCAAAACGUGCAAGUGUGGCCUUGCGAUCCUUUGGUUAAGUGCACGGGUUUGGGAUAUUGAAGCCAGAGGUGUCAGAAAAAUUACCACAGGGAUAACUGGCUUGUGGCUGCCAAGCGUUCAAAGCGACGUCGCUUUUUGAUCCUUCGAUGUCGGCUCUUCCUAGCUUCCCACCCGCAGCCGAGUGGAAGAGU
This 946-nucleotide ribosomal RNA is filed under the name Phacus lismorensis. Its description in RNAcentral is "partial large subunit ribosomal RNA". It matches the Rfam family "Eukaryotic large subunit ribosomal RNA", at positions 2185 to 2924 of the family's 3401-position model. Lineage: Eukaryota; Euglenozoa; Euglenophyceae; Euglenales; Phacaceae. The record is from RNAcentral.